RNAcentral lists this long non-coding RNA (424 nucleotides) under Malus domestica (apple). RNAcentral describes it as "long non-coding RNA (MDOM_LNC003126)". Lineage: Eukaryota; Viridiplantae; Streptophyta; Magnoliopsida; Rosales; Rosaceae. The record is from RNAcentral.
UUGUACAACUACACUCCUUGACCUUAUAUGAAUAAAAUGAAUGAACUCGAUCUUCAAUUUAAAAUAUUUACACUAUGAAAAUAUGAAUAAAUUCUUAAGUGUUCGUGAAUCGAUUAUUUUGGUGGGAUACGCAUUCUACGAAACUAGUUUCAACGAUCCAACCGUCAAACAUGUUUGUAUAUACUUCAAGAUCGCAUAAGCCAAAAAUUGCAAAAAACAAACAUUCAGAGAUCAAGUAACGGGACAAAACUUUUCAACGGUUAUCAACAAAAAAUCACGAUUUAACGGUUAUUUUAACUUCCAUUUUGAUGAUUUUUUACAGCUACACUCCUUGACCCUAUAUGAAUACAAUGAAUGAACUUGAUCUUCCAUUUAAAAUAUUUACACUAGUGGAUACCACAAAAUCUUAUGUUAUACUUAAUGA